Molecule: ribosomal RNA, 466 nt
Filed under: Vreelandella stevensii
Lineage: Bacteria; Pseudomonadati; Pseudomonadota; Gammaproteobacteria; Oceanospirillales; Halomonadaceae
Description: partial 16S ribosomal RNA
Rfam family: Bacterial small subunit ribosomal RNA
Source: RNAcentral
CCUACGGGUGGGCAGCAGUGGGGAAUAUUGGACAAUGGGCGAAAGCCUGAUCCAGCCAUGCCGCGUGUGUGAAGAAGGCCUUCGGGUUGUAAAGCACUUUCAGUGGGGAAGAAAGCCUUGGGGCUAAUACCCUCGAGGAAGGACAUCACCCACAGAAGAAGCACCGGCUAACUCCGUGCCAGCAGCCGCGGUAAUACGGAGGGUGCGAGCGUUAAUCGGAAUUACUGGGCGUAAAGCGCGCGUAGGCGGUCUGAUAAGCCGGUUGUGAAAGCCCCGGGCCCAACCUGGGAACGGCAUCCGGAACUGUCAGGCUAGAGUGCAGGAGAGGAAGGUAGAAUUCCCGGUGUAGCAGUGAAAUGCGUAGAGAUCGGGAGGAAUACCAGUGGCGAAGGCGGCCUUCUGGACUGACACUGACGCUGAGGUGCGAAAGCGUGGGUAGCAAACAGGAUUAGAUACCCCUGUAGUC